RNAcentral lists this ribosomal RNA (390 nucleotides) under fungal sp. RNAcentral describes it as "SSU rRNA". It matches the Rfam family "Eukaryotic small subunit ribosomal RNA", at positions 827 to 1215 of the family's 1831-position model. Lineage: Eukaryota; Fungi. The record is from RNAcentral.
CGUGUGGUUCUAUUUUGUUGGUUUCUAGGACCGCCGUAAUGAUUAAUAGGGAUAGUCGGGGGCAUCAGUAUUCAAUUGUCAGAGGUGAAAUUCUUGGAUUUAUUGAAGACUAACUACUGCGAAAGCAUUUGCCAAGGAUGUUUUCAUUAAUCAGUGAACGAAAGUUAGGGGAUCGAAGACGAUCAGAUACCGUCGUAGUCUUAACCAUAAACUAUGCCGACUAGGGAUCGGGCGAUGUUAUCUUUUUGACUCGCUCGGCACCUUACGAGAAAUCAAAGUUUUUGGGUUCUGGGGGGAGUAUGGUCGCAAGGCUGAAACUUAAAGAAAUUGACGGAAGGGCACCACCAGGAGUGGAGCCUGCGGCUUAAUUUGACUCAACACGGGGAAACU